CAGCAGUAGCCGCGGUAAUACGUAGGUGGCAAGCGUUGUCCGGAAUUAUUGGGCGUAAAGGGCUCGCAGGCGGUUUCUUAAGUCUGAUGUGAAAGCCCCCGGCUCAACCGGGGAGGGUCAUUGGAAACUGGGAAACUUGAGUGCAGAAGAGGAGAGUGAAAUUCCACGUGUAGCGGUGAAAUGCGUAGAGAUGUGGAGGAACACCAGUGGCGAAGGCGACUCUCUGGUCUGUAACUGACGCUGAGGAGCGAAAGCGUGGGGAGCGAACAGGAUUAGAUCCGUGUAGUCCCUGUCUCUUAUACAC
RNAcentral lists this ribosomal RNA (304 nucleotides) under uncultured bacterium. RNAcentral's name for it is "partial 16S ribosomal RNA". It matches the Rfam family "Bacterial small subunit ribosomal RNA", at positions 506 to 809 of the family's 1533-position model. The record is from RNAcentral.